RNAcentral lists this ribosomal RNA (477 nucleotides) under uncultured bacterium. Its description in RNAcentral is "partial 16S ribosomal RNA". It matches the Rfam family "Bacterial small subunit ribosomal RNA", at positions 30 to 507 of the family's 1533-position model. The record is from RNAcentral.
AUUGUACGCUGGCGGCAUGCCUUACACAUGCAAGUCGAACGGUAACAGGUUAAGCUGACGAGUGGCGAACGGGUGAGUAAUGUAUCGGAACGUGCCCAGUCGUGGGGGAUAACUGCUCGAAAGAGCAGCUAAUACCGCAUACGACCUGAGGGUGAAAGCGGGGGAUCGCAAGACCUCGCGCGAUUGGAGCGGCCGAUAUCAGAUUAGGUAGUUGGUGAGGUAAAGGCUCACCAAGCCGACGAUCUGUAGCUGGUCUGAGAGGACGACCAGCCACACUGGGACUGAGACACGGCCCAGACUCCUACGGGAGGCAGCAGUGGGGAAUUUUGGACAAUGGGCGCAAGCCUGAUCCAGCCAUGCCGCGUGCGGGAAGAAGGCCUUCGGGUUGUAAACCGCUUUUGUCAGGGAAGAAAAGGUUCUGGCUAAUACCUGGGACUCAUGACGGUACCUGAAGAAUAAGCACCGGCUAACUACGUG